RNAcentral lists this non-coding RNA (173 nucleotides) under Candidatus Cloacimonadota bacterium. RNAcentral's name for it is "Candidatus Cloacimonetes bacterium 6S RNA". It matches the Rfam family "6S / SsrS RNA". Rfam says of the family: E. coli 6S RNA was the first non coding RNA to be sequenced, but its function was unknown until recently. It consists of 184 nucleotides that fold into an extended hairpin structure with a large single-stranded internal bulge. RNAcentral also lists the same sequence under 1 other name. Lineage: Bacteria; Pseudomonadati; Candidatus Cloacimonadota. The record is from RNAcentral.
UAUGGCCUGCGGAACUCGUGAUAUGGGUUGCGGAAAAGCUAAUAAAUUUAAGGGAACCGAGCCAUGGGUGGCAUGCAUGCCGGCUAGUCCCGGAUCCAUAAAACCCAUAAGGUAGGUGCCCACCUAGUGCUUGGCUUUAACGGACAAGCAUACACGGUUCUCGCGGGUCAUUU